UUUACCCUACGUGGUACGUGCAAAGAAUUAAAUUUUAGAACCAACAAAUAUUUAACGGGAGUCCGCCUUUGAGUGUGGCGUGUAGGCUUAGAGUAUACUUUAAGAAACCCAGAAGCAUUCAACAAGAUACCCACCUGUCUAGUGGCAGGUCCUUAAAAUUUCGUUCAUCUCACGGCUAGUGUGGGGACUUU
Clostridium sp. CAG:780 is the source of this 191-nucleotide non-coding RNA. NCBI's taxonomy places the organism in Bacteria, Bacillati, Bacillota, Clostridia, Eubacteriales, Clostridiaceae. The record is from Rfam.